UCGCUCUACAAGAGAUUCACACAGAAUUCCCCUUGCACAAGAAGUAGGAUCCCAAUCCUCUUCUUCUCUAGAACCCUAGCCGCACAAAACAAGAGUCUCUCUCAAAAUAUCCUUGAAUAUCUCUACUCCUAGGGCUCUCAUGAGUCCUAUAUAUAGUCUCAAGACCUUCAGAUGAUCAUAGCCGUCGAAACGCUACCAAAAAACACCAAAAGAAAAUCGUCCGUAC
This 226-nucleotide long non-coding RNA is filed under the name Phoenix dactylifera (date palm). RNAcentral's name for it is "long non-coding RNA (PDAC_LNC011267)". Lineage: Eukaryota; Viridiplantae; Streptophyta; Magnoliopsida; Arecales; Arecaceae. The record is from RNAcentral.